Molecule: ribosomal RNA, 261 nt
Filed under: Pseudobutyrivibrio xylanivorans
Lineage: Bacteria; Bacillati; Bacillota; Clostridia; Lachnospirales; Lachnospiraceae
Description: 23S rRNA. Bacterial LSU
Rfam family: Bacterial large subunit ribosomal RNA
Source: RNAcentral
UGAGAGGAGCUGCCCCUAGUACGAGAGGACCGGGGUGGACGGACCACUGGUGUAUCAGCUGUCGACCAACGGCAUAGCUGAGUAGCCAAGUCUGGACGGGAUAAACGCUGAAGGCAUCUAAGCGUGAAGCCCCCCUCAAGAUGAGAUAUCCCCUCCUUCAAGGAGAUAAGAUCCCUUAAAGACGAUAAGGUAGAUAGGUUCAAGGUGUAAGUGCGGUAACGCAUUCAGCUGAUGAAUACUAAUAGAUCGAAGGUUUAUUCU